Oncorhynchus mykiss (rainbow trout) is the source of this 2435-nucleotide long non-coding RNA. NCBI's taxonomy places the organism in Eukaryota, Metazoa, Chordata, Actinopteri, Salmoniformes, Salmonidae. The record is from Ensembl.
AUGAUGAACAUAGAGCACAAGGCUUUCUGCAAGCUCCGCCGCUCCAUGCACCCCACCUCGCCAGCUGACAUCGAUCCUAAGGUCCACAGCACCGUGGAAAGAGCUGUGAGGAGCAUUCUGGGCGAGCAGUCCAAUGAGCCCCGUAGCAACCUGCUCAGCCCAUCUCAGGUGGUGGUGGAGGUGGUGCCCAGGCUCCUCCUGGCCCUGUGGCUUCAGCCAGAGGAAGGCCAUUCAGAGCACCCAAGAGAGAGAGACUUAGAGAGCACUCUGACAGGUGCCGUUUGUCAUGACAUCUUAGUAGAACCUUUCAACUGGCCAGUGUUUAGAAGCUACGGUUUGCAUUUGUUCACAUUCUGUUCCUCUUUUUUCCCUUUCCAGAGGAUGUUGCUGUGGUCAUCCCGGAUGUCACCCCACACGUCACCAAGGACGUGGCACUGGAAGUUCCAUGCAGAGCUAGGAAAGGGGCAGUCCGGCUAUUAUUUUGCAGGCUUUGGAGGGCAGUGUGCUGCUGCCCCUGCCACAAGGAAGAGGAGAAACAAUAUUAAUUAUUCAUCAGACCUUCAGAAAUGGGAUUGAACCGUAGACCAUUCAAUUAUUCGCAUUAUAAUUGGACUCAAUUCUGCUUUUCUUCUGUUUACUACUUAAUUUCAGAACAUUUCUAUAAACUUUCACUUUGCAAGUGUGGAGUAGGUUAUGUAAAUAAGUGAGAAACAUCACAAUUUUAAUGCUUUUAAUUAAAAAAAAGGGGCCCUCAACCAACGUUCAGUUGAGGUGCAACCAAAUAUUUGAAUCAUCAUAGAAAAGGAAAAGGAGCAACUCUUGCUCACUAUAAAAAAUGCAUUGUUUUAUUCAGGCAAGGUUAAAAGAUUAACGUUUUGGCCUAGUCUGUGAUGAUAUGCAAGUUGUGUUUGUAGCAGGAAAAGGGUGACCCCUUUAACGAAAUGGGACUUGUCAAUUCUUGAAUAAAAAUCUUUAAUGAACAUGAAUUUAUAUACAAUUGACUUGAGGAUCAGAGCAGGCAGGCUGACUGGCUAGCCCUGAAGGCCCUCUGCCUCUACCUGUGUGGUUCAUCUCAACCAAGAGGUUGUGUGGGUUGUCUUUCUCUCUGUGGGUGUGAAUCACUAUGACCUCUCCCUCUGCCUGCCAUUUGGCUGAUCAGAAGCCUUCUGCUCUUUCUUGCUCACAUGAACAGGAGGAAUGGCCUCUGGGGUAAUAUCCUCCUCUAUCUAACGCCUCUUCCACCUCCUCUUUCUGACUGUGUUCGACUGACGUCACUUGUUCUCUCUCCCUGGGUGUUGGAUAGUUCCUCCUCCUCUGUGUCUCUGUGAUGGUGGAGGGAGUUAUCCUGUUCCGGCUCCCUCUAAGGGUGUGCACCGUAAUCUCUUUCGGUGUGUUGAGGGGUUCAGUGGUUUUGAAGGGAGUCUGAAGUUCGAUCUCUAGCGAUGAGUGUGGGGUCUGUCCCGUGGUGGUGUCCCCAUCCCUCCUAAGGAGAAGCCCCUGAGACACCAAUUAAAGGCACUUCCGGUUGGCACAGGAAGCUAUAGGUAAACAAAUAUCUUGCUUUGGGUAUUCUCUUACAGAAUCCUGAGAAUCCUAAAGUCUUUAUGUUAAGAAUUGACUGAUCUACCCAGGGUUGAAUGCAGUCAUUUUCACAUUUGCAGGUUAUGUACAUCAAAAUACAUUUUGGGUGAAUUUAACCACUUCCGGUUGCUCCAGGAAGCUUAGAAUCGACACAGGUAGACCUCAUAGUGGCCUGAUGGAUUGGCAUUGAAGACAGGUUCAUAAGGCAUUAUUAACCCACAUAGGCUCCAGGUUGAAUUUAGGGGAGCUGUCAAUGUAUUCCUAUGGGGAGAGAUGUCAUUGUAAUCUGUGAGAUCAAAAAAACCUGUUUUAUUUUUAAGGGUUAAUGCCACACGGUCAAGGUAAGGCUUGCAUGGAUUGGAAGGACGUUAGGAACAUUCCUGUGGUUGAAUUGUCCUUCUAAACCUAACGGUUCUCUCACUGUCACCCAAAAGCAAAUGACGUUGUGGGGCAGGCUUCAUUUUGGGCUUACUUUUCUCAUGGUCGCUGCGCUCAGUUCGAGCGAGCUACGGUCAAGCGGGAUAUUACGGUGAUGCCAUUUGUUAUUUUUUAGUGUUUAUUUCAGCCUGUCUGUGUAAGUUUCUAGUUCAAAUUGUGCUUCCUGAACAGCAGUAGUACAGGCUACAGCAGGACUUUAUUGUUUAUUUCACUUUUGUUUAUUAUCUACUUAAUUUGCUUUGCCAAUGUAAACAUAUGAUUCCCAUGCCAAUAAUGCCUAAAUAUUUGUUCCUACCUUCACAGACAACAACACAAGACAGUGAAUGUUUAACACUUACAAAUUAAGUGACAAACUAAAUAUAAACCUUAAAGAAAGCACAACACAAAGAAUUACUCAACUAGUUAUUUAAUAAAAC